This is a long non-coding RNA of Ailuropoda melanoleuca (giant panda), 1178 nucleotides long. RefSeq lists it as uncharacterized. The record is from RefSeq and is a predicted model, not a curated record. The transcript is spliced from 4 exons. NCBI's taxonomy places the organism in Eukaryota, Metazoa, Chordata, Mammalia, Carnivora, Ursidae.
GCUGGAUGUAGCCCCCCCAGCAGAGUUCUGGUUGCUCUGAGUAAAAGCUCUGACGUCAUCAUUCACUCAGGACAACAUACACUACCCCCAGCAGUGUCUUCUUUUCUUGUGCUAUCCAGUCUGAAGGGACCUGGAUUGUCUGGAAAUUCUGCAGAAGACCAUUGUUCCCAUAUACUGAUGAUGUCAUGUCAAUGGGAUCUGAUGAGCAAGAACUGGGAAUCUGACCUAAGCCCGCAGUCGUCAGCAUACUGUGGUAUUUGGGGCUGAGCGUGCGAGUGCGAGUGAGAUCACCGCAGACUGGGAGCAACAACGGGUAGAGAGCAGCAGGCGGAGGCAACACCCAGAUGGUGACACAGAAGACAGAAUCCAGCCGUCACAGAAUCCGAGAAAGAGGGAGUCAAGGAGCAAAGGCAGUUCAAGUGUCGAGCACGAAGAAACCUGCGAAUCGACAAUUCUUCAUCAUACUCAGCUUCUCCUAUUUGCUACGAUACAUGCAGGUGGAUAUCGAAGAAUUGGCUCCGAAGCCAGGGAUGUAGCACUACCAUCAAGUCGGACACGUGGCAAGAACUAUUACCUUCCUGAGGAUCCCCCUGUCAUCUUUAUACUCCAGGAUGUCAGUUCAUUUCUGUUUUUUCCUUGGUACUUCCAUUAUUUUUUUUCAUGUUUUAUGAUGUUUUAUUUAGAGAAGCAAGUGUGAGGAGUUAAAAGGCAUCUGGUUCUCAAGCUUCUACAAAGGCUUGAGCUGAAAUGUAAGUUCUGCACUGUGCUUGUGGGUCAGCCGACUCGGACGCUGCCAGGCCCUUGGGGGUUAGUCAUUGCAAAGGCCACACGCCAUCUUGCGAGACUGUCUGUUCUCUGUCCAGCAUGACUUUCUCCCCCGCUUUCUUGUCUCCUCUCAAUACCAAGGUCAGUCAGUGUGGCCCGGAUCAGAGAUGACCUCCCUAUGAUAGUCAGGUCUGGCAAUUGUUGUCCUUACUCUUUCCAAUAAAAAUAAUAAGUAGUGAUUGUGAACCUUUGCAAAGAUAAUGCUUCUGUUAUAGGCUCAGCCCCAAAUCUUUAAUUGCUCAGUGUUUUUACCCACGGUGUUAUUACCAGGAGCUAAUGCUCUGUCACUGACUGUCACUGCGGUCCCUUUCUAAAUCCCUUGGUUUCCAGAAGUCAUCAUGAGUUAUCCUCAG